Molecule: long non-coding RNA, 394 nt
Organism: Oreochromis niloticus (Nile tilapia)
Lineage: Eukaryota; Metazoa; Chordata; Actinopteri; Cichliformes; Cichlidae
Exons: 3
Source: RefSeq, a predicted model, not a curated record
GAUUGACAGACCACGUGACUUUCACGUAUUGCAUUGUGGGUACGAAUGGCAACAAAAUCAAAACACUGCAUCAAGCGCUAGCAUUUCCAGCACCGGUAAUCAUUAAUUCUGCGGUUUUAAUCCCUACUUGCAUUUUAUUUGCCCCAAAAACAGUAAUGUACAAAACGACGGAGUGUGAGUGCAUACACUCACAAAAUGUUUAGUAACUUCAGAUCCCUGCAACAAGCCCAGGUCCAGUUUACUUUGGUGAUUUGGACUAUUCCAGUUCACAGCUGUUGUUAAAUUCUUUUCCUUUAUCUCCUGUACAGGCCAACGCAAUCUAUUUGUCGUUUCAGGUUGUAGUAUUACACAACAUUUUCAGAUCUAAUAGAAAUAAAAUGAGUGUUUCGUAAUU